Molecule: non-coding RNA, 74 nt
Organism: Podarcis lilfordi (Lilford's wall lizard)
Lineage: Eukaryota; Metazoa; Chordata; Lepidosauria; Squamata; Lacertidae
Source: the annotation of a GenBank genome assembly
CUCCCAGUGACACAACGGGUCAAUGGGUCUGGUUGUUAACCAGAAGGUUGGUGGUUCAAGCCCACCCAGGGAUG